AACGAACGCUGGCGGCAUGCCUAACACAUGCAAGUCGAACGAGACCUUCGGGUCUAGUGGCGCACGGGUGCGUAACGCGUGGGAACCUGCCCUUAGGCUCGGAAUAACUCUCCGUAAGGGGUGCUAAUACCGGAUAAUGUCUUCGGAUAAAAGAUUUAUCGCCCUUGGAUGGGCCCGCGUUGGUUUAACUGGUUGGUAGGGUAAAAGCCUACCAAGGCGACGAUCCAUAGCUGGUCUGAGAGGAUGAUCAGCCACAAUGGAACUGAGACACGGCCCAGACUACGACGAGAGGAAGCAGUGGGGAAUAUUGGACAAUGGGCGCAAGCCUGAUCGAGCCAUACAGCGUGGGUGAAGAAGGCCUUAGGGUUGGAAAGCCCUUUUGUUGGGAAAGAAAAGCAGCAGGUUAAUACCCCGCUGUUCUGACGGUACCAAAAGAAUAAGCACCGGCUAACUUCGUG
RNAcentral lists this ribosomal RNA (458 nucleotides) under uncultured bacterium. RNAcentral describes it as "partial 16S ribosomal RNA". It matches the Rfam family "Bacterial small subunit ribosomal RNA", at positions 29 to 507 of the family's 1533-position model. The record is from RNAcentral.